GACGAACGCUGGCGGCGUGCCUAAUACAUGCAAGUCGAGCGAACGACGGGAGCUUGCUCCCGUUCGUUAGCGGCGGAUGGGUGAGUAACACGUGGGCAACCUGCCUGUAAGACUGGGAUAACUUCGGGAAACCGGAGCUAAUACCGGAUAACUUCUUUUCCCUCCUGGGAAAAGGUUGAAAGACGGUUUACGCUGUCACUUACAGAUGGGCCCGCGGCGCAUUAGCUAGUUGGUGGGGUAAUGGCUCACCAAGGCAACGAUGCGUAGCCGACCUGAGAGGUGAUCGGCCACACUGGGACUGAGACACGGCCCAGACUCCUACGGGAGGCUG
This 331-nucleotide ribosomal RNA is filed under the name uncultured Bacillota bacterium. Its description in RNAcentral is "bacterial SSU rRNA". It matches the Rfam family "Bacterial small subunit ribosomal RNA", at positions 28 to 351 of the family's 1533-position model. The record is from RNAcentral. Lineage: Bacteria; Bacillati; Bacillota.